ACAAAAAAACCAAAUUGCAUCGAUUCAUCCCAUCAAUUAUCUCCAAGCUUGAAUCCUAUAUCAAAUUAUUAGUUUAAUUUCAAAAAGAAAACCCAAGAAGCCUCAUCUUUUGGUUGUAUAUGGGUGGGUUUUGCUGUUGAAUUUUCCAAUAAGAAUCAGAUAUACAAAUCAUUUUCCAUGCUCAAUUUGCAAUUUUGGGGUAGAAGUUGUAGAUAAAUUGCUUAGUGCAUUUGCUUUAUAAGGGACAAUGACGUAUCACAUAUCUUGGCAAAAUAACGAGGACUA
Molecule: long non-coding RNA, 285 nt
Organism: Spinacia oleracea (spinach)
Lineage: Eukaryota; Viridiplantae; Streptophyta; Magnoliopsida; Caryophyllales; Amaranthaceae
Exons: 3
Source: RefSeq, a predicted model, not a curated record